AGCAGAUCUCUGGCUCUUGCUUAGUGAGAGAAGCCUGGCAGCUCAGUUGGGUUCUGAUAGACAGAGCCUCCCUGAGGGAAGGUGGUGUCCAUAUCAUCAUUUGACAUGGAAGUCAUGCUGAUGGCAUCCUUAAAGCAUGUCCUAAAUAUGUCAAUUGUCAUCUUCCCAUGUGGGAUACUUAAGUUUUCCAAGGCUGUACAAACUAUGAAAGGUCAUGGAAACUGGCUCUACAGCUUGAUGCCUGAUACUGGGGGAAAUCAGCUUGCAAAACACACGCACUCUGAAUAUCCGAUUGUUGUCAAGAAGUUUGGAGAGAAGAAGCUCAUAUAAACAAGCUCCUCAUUUUCCUUCUUACAGGAGGGGGCUGCUAAGGGCAAAGGAAGCCCUGUCAACUUGAUUCCAUGAUGGUAGGGAGAGAGCCACUGGAGGGUUAAGGAGCAGAGUGGAGGUCAGAAGUUCCUGAGUGGAUGUUCUUGGCCUCCGGUGGAUCACAAAGACCUGGAAAUAUUUGGAAGUUGGAACACUUUGUCCUUACACUGAGUGGAGCAGACACCACUCCCUAAAAUGAACUAGAGGUGGUGGAAAAUUUUCAGAUCUCAAAGUUUUUCAACAAAACAGUGGGACAUAUUUUUCAAACAUUAGGAAAUAAAGAGAUGAUUGUUCCUAGA
Molecule: long non-coding RNA, 668 nt
Organism: Mauremys reevesii (Reeves's turtle)
Lineage: Eukaryota; Metazoa; Chordata; Testudines; Geoemydidae
Exons: 4
Source: RefSeq, a predicted model, not a curated record